UAGAGGUGGUUAGAAAAACAAAGAGUAACUAUUUUUAGUGCACAACAAUAAAUGCCGCAUCGUCCGUGUGUCUUCCCAGGUCCGAUUUCCCUCUCCUUCUUCUUCUUGCUUGAAACUAUCCCACUAAAAGGGGCACUUUACAACCCCAUCAACUGCAACUCUGCAAGUCUUUAACUAUGGCUCCUUCUAUCGUUAUCUCACCAUGUCCAAGACCAGUAGUCAGAUGCAAUUGAUUGUAGAGGAGAAUAAACGACAGAGUUUUGUUAAUUGUAAUGCUAACAAUACGAAUUUGUUAAGGUGCUAACAUUAAUGAAAAAAAUAAGGAAGAUUUUGCAAUAGCUACAAUAAAAUACUCCGUAGUAGCCACCAUAAUAAAAUGAAUCUCAACCUUUUUUUUUGUUGUCUCAUCGGAACCGUUGAUUAUGCUGACUUUUUUGUUUUUAUUUUUUAAUUAAAAUUAGUUUUUUCAAUAAAAAUAAAAGUAUUAAAAAAUACCCCACUUUCCUACUACAAUCAUCCACGUUCCGGGGAAGCAGUUUCUCUAUAUGACAAAAUAAAAUGAACAAAAUUUUUGAAACUUCAAUUCAAAAUUGAUGUUCUUGUUGAUCUUCAUUAUCGGGGGGGUUUGAUAAAAUUUCUAAAACUUCAAUUCAAUCUAUCGCUAAGAAGUAACGGUUUUGUUGAGAAACUCAAUUAAUUCCAUCAUUUCUUUUCUUAUUAACAAAGAAUGUGGGUGAUGUGGACUAAAAGAAUGCCACCUGACUGCACUAUCAAAGCCCAGAAGAAAGAGCCCAAAAGCUUGCCUACGGGCAUUUCUCAAACUUCACAGGGCCCGGGCCCAAGCGAUUAAGAGGCCCACAUUGGUCCUAAACAAGCCUCCAGAACCAAUGCAGGACACGUGUCCCAAUCUUGCGUAAACACUCAAUCAUGCAGGACCAGUUCCCGAGAAACCCUAGCACUAUAAAUAGUGCAGAUCCCUAGGUUGCCAGAAGUUCGUGCCAGGUCAUACUUGAUACCUCUGAGGAGCGCGUGCCACGUCAGCACCGUAAAAGAUCCCACAACAUUUGGCGCCGUCUGUGGGGAGGUACAGUGUCAUGGCCGAACUACACUCUGACAGAGAGCAUGCUGGUGAAGAAGAAGAGAGACGGCACAUUGAAGAGACCAAUCGAAUUGCAAAUGCAGGGAACACACCAGGACGAAUGCAAGCUGAGGUGGUGGUAGAAGAAGAACCAAUCACUAGUGGAAAAACAAUCAUUUGCAUCACCACAUUUGCCUCGCACAUUUAAACAUGUGACGCAAUUGACAGUUCUAAGCUUUAAAAUUAGUCAUUUGCGUCGCAGAAUUAUUAAUCUGCGACGCAAAUGACUCUAAAAUGUUCUCAGAGUCAUUUGCGUCGCAGAUUAGUAAUAAUGCGACGCAAAAUAUUACCUCCUUUGCGUCGCAGAAUUACUAAUCUGCGACGCAAAUGACUCUUUAAGUCACCUGCGUCGCAGAUUAGUAAUUCUGCGACGCAGAGGAGGUAAAAAAAAUUCGGAAGGAGAUGUCAAUACCCUCUUUUUCUCUCUUUUUCUUCUUUCCAGAACUCCAUUCAGGAGAUGUCAAUACCCUCUUUUUCUCUCUCUUCUUCUUUCCAGAACUCCAUUCAUGAGAUGUCAAUACCUCUCAAUCUUUCAUUCAUUUGAAAUCUCCUCUAACCACUAUACGUAUUUUGCCUUUAAUUUACCCGGAAAAAUCAAGAUUUGCGAAAACACGGCUCGAAGAGAAAAAUCCUAGAUUCCGCCGCGAAGAAGGAGACAUUUCAAAGCAGUGCAGCUCGAUUGCUAGCGAGUCUCCGAUCCAAUUCUGCGAAUUAGUUCGUCGGCGAUUUAGCCUAUUUCUAGGUUUUUAAGGUUGGGUGAAACGCCAAACCGUUGGAGCUGGAUCUUCGGUUAACGUCGCCGCCGUCAUUGAUUACCUUAUUUCUUAGAUGGUGCCUGAUGUUGUAGAGGGUGAUGGGUUUGUUGGGAGGCAGCCUCAUAUCAAGUAUGAGCUCAGAGAUAGUCCUGGUCUUGUGAAUGUAGGAGGAUACAACCAAUGUGUAUUCUUCAACUGCAGUUAUAGUAGUUCGGAUACUCCACUGAGUGAGGGUCAGUGCCAUUGGUUUUCUCCCAAGGGUUCUACUUUGCUUAAAGCGGGCUCUAAAAAUCGCAAAUGCCGCUCAACAGAUGGCUAAUGCUACUCGGGGUAGUGGUGGUUUAGUUAUGCUGUUCAUUGAAAUCAUCAAUAAGUAUCUCUAUUUUUUUGAGAAGGGAAACAACCAAAUCACCGUCAAUACAAUCCAGGAUCUAAUGGAAUUAAUUACUACAGAGAUGCAAAGUGAUAAUGCGGCAACAGAUUCUGCUGCUGAAGCUUUCUUUGCAAGCACAUUGCGGUACAUCCAAUUCCAGAAACAAAAAGGUGGCGCAGUUAGUGAGAAAUAUGAACCUAAUGAGAACUGAAAAGUUAAAACUUGAGAAAGGGAAACAAACUCGGUAACAAUUGCUCUUCAAUCCGCUAAACUUGUGAGAAUUGUCGCCUUUGAUCUUGCUCUUGGGACUCUUGAAUGGUUCCCUCAUUUGUCUUUGAAUACGCUGACGCUGACGCUGCGUGCUACGUGUGUCAUGGGAAGUUGCUUAUCCAAGCAUGAUCUCAACUCUCAAAUUGAUUUGGUAAUUGAAAUUUUGAAGCGUCCAGGAGAAGUCCUCCAUGUUUGUCUUAGUGUCGCACGAACGCUGUAAAUUCAUAAUUUAGUGUGCUUCAAUUUUAAUUUCUCGGCUUUUUUUUUCUCGGUUCAAAUUUUUAUUUUUAUUUCAUAUUGUAAUUUGUUUGAUUUUGGUCUGACAAUGGAGUUUUUUUCAUCUGCUUGAAUGAUAUCUUGGGCCUCAUUCGUUUAUGGUUCACUUAAACUUU
RNA transcript from Spinacia oleracea (spinach), 2928 nucleotides. It is a transcript of the gene named vacuolar protein sorting-associated protein 35B-like, with no coding region annotated. The record is from RefSeq and is a predicted model, not a curated record. The transcript has 9 exons. NCBI's taxonomy places the organism in Eukaryota, Viridiplantae, Streptophyta, Magnoliopsida, Caryophyllales, Amaranthaceae.